Molecule: ribosomal RNA, 300 nt
Filed under: Aristaeomorpha foliacea
Lineage: Eukaryota; Metazoa; Arthropoda; Malacostraca; Decapoda; Aristeidae
Description: partial 16S ribosomal RNA
Rfam family: Bacterial large subunit ribosomal RNA
Source: RNAcentral
UGUCUCGGUUAUACAAUUUGAAUUUAACUUUUAAGUGAAAAGGCUUAAAUAAUCUAAGGGGACGAUAAGACCCUAUAAAGCUUUACAAUAAAUUAAAUAUAUUAAAAUUUGUUAGUGUAACUUACUAUAUUUAGAGUUUGUUUCGUUGGGGCGACGAGAAUAUAAUGAAUAACUGUUCUUUUUAAAAAUAAACAAUAAUAAUUGGUUAAAGAUUGAUCCUUUAUUAAAGAUUAAAAGAUUAAGUUACUUUAGGGAUAACAGCGUAAUCUUCUUCAAGAGUUCAGAUCGACAAGAAGGGUU